RNAcentral lists this non-coding RNA (773 nucleotides) under Diprion sp. The record is from RNAcentral. Lineage: Eukaryota; Metazoa; Arthropoda; Insecta; Hymenoptera; Diprionidae. RNAcentral also lists the same sequence under 1 other name.
UUAAAAUUUGAUUUUGGUUUAUAUAUUAAUUUUAUGAUUUUUUUGCAUGUAUAUUUUUGUUUAAAAAAUAAUUUUGCAGCAAUUAAUUUUAAUAAUUAAAGAAAUUUAGAAUUAUAGAUUAUAUAAUUAAGUAUCGACAAAAAAAUUGUGCCAGCAGUAGCGGUUAAACGUUGUGAUACUAGUUAAUAUUUUUAAUUAAUAAAUUAUAUUUAUUAAUUAUAUAUAAAAAUAAAAAAUUUUAAAGUGAAAUUAAAUUUAUUUACUUAUAUAUAUAUAUAUAUAUAUAUAUAUAUAUAUUAUUUUAUGAAAUCUAAAUAAUAAACUAGGAUUAGAUACCCUAUUAUUUUAGAUGUUAAUAUUUAUUUUAAUUAUUAAUAGUUAUGAUCUUGAAAAUUAAAAAAAUUGGCGGUGUUUAAAACUAAUUAGGGGAAUUUGUUUAUGAAACGAUGAUCCGCGAGAAAUCUUACUUUAAUUUAUUUAGCUUAUUUAUUUUUGUUAUCAGAAUAUUUUUUAAGAAUAAAAAAUUUUCAAAUAAUUUAAUAAAAUUAUAUUUCAGAUCAAGAUGUAGCUUAUAUUAAAGUUUAAAUGAAUUACAAUAAAAAUUUAGUUUUUGGAUAUAAAUUGAAAUAUUUAUUGAAAUCGGACUUAAUAGUAAAAUUUAAAAUUAUAUAAAUUUGAAUUAAGAAUUAAAUGUGUACAAAUCGCCCGUCACUCUCAUUAAAGUUGAGAUAAGUCGUAACAUAGUAAAUGUAUUGGAAAAUGUAUUUAGAAUU